RNAcentral lists this ribosomal RNA (253 nucleotides) under uncultured bacterium. RNAcentral describes it as "partial 16S ribosomal RNA". It matches the Rfam family "Bacterial small subunit ribosomal RNA", at positions 524 to 776 of the family's 1533-position model. The record is from RNAcentral.
GACGUAGGAGGCGAGCGUUGUCCGGAUUCAUUGGGCGUAAAGAGCACGCAGGCGGUUUGGCAAGUCGGAUGUGAAAACCCGGAGCUCAACUCCGGACCUGCAUCCGAAACUGCCCGACUAGAGGUAGGUAGGGGAGAUCGGAAUUCCUGGUGUAGCGGUGAAAUGCGCAGAUAUCAGGAGGAACACCGGUGGCGAAGGCGGGUCUCUGGGCAGUAACUGACGCUGAGGCGCGAAAGCUAGGGGAGCGAACAGG